This 253-nucleotide ribosomal RNA is filed under the name uncultured Gardnerella sp. RNAcentral's name for it is "partial 16S ribosomal RNA". It matches the Rfam family "Bacterial small subunit ribosomal RNA", at positions 103 to 354 of the family's 1533-position model. The record is from RNAcentral. Lineage: Bacteria; Bacillati; Actinomycetota; Actinomycetes; Bifidobacteriales; Bifidobacteriaceae.
CGGGUGAGUAAUGCGUGACCAACCUGCCCCAUGCUCCAGAAUAGCUCUUGGAAACGGGUGGUAAUGCUGGAUGCUCCAACUUGACGCAUGUCUUGUUGGGAAAGUGUUUAGUGGCAUGGGAUGGGGGUCGCGUCCUAUCAGCUUGUAGGCGGGGUAAUGGCCCACCUAGGCUUCGACGGGUAGCCGGCCUGAGAGGGCGGACGGCCACAUUGGGACUGAGAUACGGCCCAGACUCCUACGGGAGGCAGCAGAC